UCCCUGGAGGACUAGUGGUUAGGCCUCGGUGCUCUCACUGCCACGGUCCUGGUUUGAUUCCCAGCCAGGGAA
Pangasius djambal is the source of this 72-nucleotide non-coding RNA. The record is from the annotation of a GenBank genome assembly. NCBI's taxonomy places the organism in Eukaryota, Metazoa, Chordata, Actinopteri, Siluriformes, Pangasiidae.